GGGCGGGAAAGUAGAGAAGCGACUUGCAUUCCUCAACCUGUCACAGGGUUACGUGAUGACGAACGGUUUGCGUAUUUCGCAAGAUUCUGGUCUAAUCGACGUUGUCAUUGCUUCUUUUGACGCUACAUCAAGAUCUACUACAUUGUUUGACAAUUGCGUGGAACGUUGUACAAUGAAAUAUAGACUAGAGGAUGGAGAAAAUCAUUUGAAAACACGCGAUUAUAAUCGCCACAGAGAUGUUCUUGUUUCAUGAACUUAAGAUCGAUGAUGGGAACAAGACGGAAGGCAGCAUCGUUUAAUAUACAGAUAAACGAAAAAUGCUACUAAUAUAUAAUACCAAAUAAGGAAAAUAAUAUUUUACAUGUCAAACCUCAUUGACACCGAGGAAGAUAGAUGACGAUUCUGUGACAAUAUCAGCACAGAGGAAGGCGUUGUAAGCCCAGUUUUUGUCCAUUUUGCAUAUUUGACCUUGCCAGCAGUAUUUUUGAUACAAUAUUAUUUUUGCUAAUUUUUUUUUAUGCUUUAUAUACAAACUCGGGUUUGACAAGUCAAUAUUUUACUAUUUUGUACACCAUACCAAGUUUAUCUUGUGUAAGUAUCGACUCCUAUUCAGAGAAUGUGUACCAUAUGUUUGCGCAUACGUGACAAGUUUUUAAAUUUUGAAUGAGGUGUUGAAAUGUUUUUGUAAACAAAGUAUUUGUACGAAUAUUGUUUAUUCAACGUUUGUGGUUUGCAAAACUGACUAUAAGUAAGUCCAAGUGGAAAUUUAUAUUUUGUAUGUUUUGAGCAUUUCUCGUUUAUUCAUUUAUUUGUGAACUUUUCUGCUUUUUUCACUUUGCUCUUUCA
Styela clava is the source of this 846-nucleotide long non-coding RNA. RefSeq lists it as uncharacterized. NCBI's taxonomy places the organism in Eukaryota, Metazoa, Chordata, Ascidiacea, Stolidobranchia, Styelidae. The record is from RefSeq and is a predicted model, not a curated record.